GGGGUUGAAAUAGAGGUCGGACUCUGCCCACUGAUUAGGUGAUUUAAAGGCUGCAAAAAUUUGUACAAAGGUAGCGCAAUAAGUAGUCUCUUAAUUGGAGGAUAGUAUGAAUGGUUUGACGUGGAGAUGCUGUUUCUAAUGUAGUUAAAAUGAAAUUUCUUUUUAAGUGAAAAAGCUUAAAUUUUUGUAAAAGAUGAGAAGACCCUAUCGAACUUAAUUAUGGCUAGGCAGUUUAUGCUAAAUAGAUUUUAUUUGGUUAGUUUCCUUAGCUUUAAAUUUUACUGGGGCAGUAGAGGGUUAUAUAAUACCUUUCUUUUAUAUUGAAGAGCCUUUUAGAUGGAAAAGAGCAAAAGUUACCGUAGGGAUAACAGCGUAAUUUGGUUCCCGAAAGAUCUUAUUAAGGGAAGAGUGUGCGACCUCGAUGUUGAAUUAAAGGAGCUUUUUGGUUGAAAGUGCUAAAAGGGCAAAACUGUUCGUUUUUUAAUCCUUUACGUGAUCUGAUUCAGACCGGA
RNAcentral lists this ribosomal RNA (512 nucleotides) under Saxidomus purpurata. RNAcentral's name for it is "partial large subunit ribosomal RNA". It matches the Rfam family "Bacterial large subunit ribosomal RNA", at positions 1836 to 2620 of the family's 2925-position model. Lineage: Eukaryota; Metazoa; Mollusca; Bivalvia; Venerida; Veneridae. The record is from RNAcentral.